CUACGGGACGCAGCAGUGAGGAAUAUUGCACAAUGGGGGGAACCCUGACGCAGCAACGCCGCGUGGAGGAUGACGCAUUUCGGUGUGUAAACUCCUUUUAUAUGUCAAGAAAAUGACGGUAGCAUAUGAAUAAGCACCGGCUAACUCCGUGCCAGCAGCCGCGGUAAUACGGAGGGUGCAAGCGUUACUCGGAAUCACUGGGCGUAAAGGAUGCGUAGGCGGGUUGGAAAGUCAGGUGUGAAAUCCUACAGCUUAACUGUAGAACUGCACUUGAAACUUCUAAUCUAGAGUAUGGGAGGGGGAGAUGGAAUUAGUGGUGUAGGGGUAAAAUCCGCAGAUAUCACUAGGAAUACCUAAAGCGAAGGCGAUCUCCUGGAACAUUACUGACGCUAAGGCGUGAAAGCGUGGGGAGCAAACAGGAUUAGAUACCCGUGUAGUC
This 439-nucleotide ribosomal RNA is filed under the name uncultured bacterium. RNAcentral describes it as "partial 16S ribosomal RNA". It matches the Rfam family "Bacterial small subunit ribosomal RNA", at positions 339 to 795 of the family's 1533-position model. The record is from RNAcentral.